RNAcentral lists this ribosomal RNA (607 nucleotides) under Enterocytozoon bieneusi. RNAcentral's name for it is "SSU rRNA". It matches the Rfam family "Microsporidia small subunit ribosomal RNA", at positions 295 to 908 of the family's 1311-position model. The record is from RNAcentral. Lineage: Eukaryota; Fungi; Microsporidia; Enterocytozoonidae.
AACCUUUGUUCACUCCUUACGGGGGAGACAGUCAUGAGACGUGAGUAUAAGACCUGAGUGUAAAGACCUUAGGGUGAAGCAAUUGGAGGGCAAGCUUUGGUGCCAGCAGCCGCGGUAACUCCAACUCCAAGAGUGUCUAUGGUGGAUGCUGCAGUUAAAGGGUCCGUAGUCGUGAAUGCAAUUAAAUGUCGUUGUUCAAUAGCGAUGAGUUUGCUAAUGUUUGCGGAACGGAUAGGGAGUGUAGUAUAGACUGGCGAAGAAUGAAAUCUCAAGACCCAGUUUGGACUAACGGAGGCGAAGGCGACACUCUUAGACGUAUCUUAGGAUCAAGGACGAAGGCAGGAGUAUCGAAAGUGAUUAGACACCGCUGUAGUUCCUGCAGUAAACUAUGCCGACAGCCUGUGUGUGAGAAUACGUGGGCGGGAGAAAUCUUAGUGUUCGGGCUCUGGGGAUAGUACGCUCGCAAGGGUGAAACUUAAAGCGAAAUUGACGGAAGGACACUACCAGGAGUGGAUUGUGCUGCUUAAUUUAACUCAACGCGGGAAAACUUACCAGGGUCAAGUCAUUCGUUGAUCGAAUACGUGAGAAUGGCAGGAUGGGUGCGGUG